UACGAAGGGGGCUAGCGUUGUUCGGAAUUACUGGGCGUAAAGCGUGCGCAGGCGGCUGCUCAAGUCAGGGGUGAAAGCCCAGAGCUCAACUCUGGAAUUGCCUUUGAGACUGAGUGGCUUGAGUACGGGAGAGGUGAGUGGAAUUCCCAGUGUAGAGGUGAAAUUCGUAGAUAUUCGCAAGAACACCAGUGGCGAAGGCGGCUCACUGGCCCGGUACUGACGCUGAGGCACGAAAGCCAGGGGAGCGAACGGG
This 253-nucleotide ribosomal RNA is filed under the name uncultured bacterium. RNAcentral's name for it is "partial 16S ribosomal RNA". It matches the Rfam family "Bacterial small subunit ribosomal RNA", at positions 524 to 776 of the family's 1533-position model. The record is from RNAcentral.